This 248-nucleotide ribosomal RNA is filed under the name uncultured bacterium. Its description in RNAcentral is "partial 16S ribosomal RNA". It matches the Rfam family "Bacterial small subunit ribosomal RNA", at positions 331 to 578 of the family's 1533-position model. The record is from RNAcentral.
CUUGACCUACGGGAGGCAGCAGUGAGGAAUAUUGGUCAAUGGCCGGAAGGCUGAACCAGCCAAGCCGCGUGAGGGAGGAAGGCGCAGAGCGUCGCAGACUUCUUUUGCCGGGGGACAAAAGGCCGGACUCGUCCGGUCCUGAGGGUACCCGGAGAAAAAGCAUCGGCUACCUCCGUGCCAGCAGCCGCGGUAAUACGGAGGAUGCGAGCGUUAUCCGGAUUCAUUGGGUUUAAAGGGCGCGCAGUCGG